Nelumbo nucifera (sacred lotus) is the source of this 563-nucleotide long non-coding RNA. RefSeq lists it as uncharacterized. The record is from RefSeq and is a predicted model, not a curated record. NCBI's taxonomy places the organism in Eukaryota, Viridiplantae, Streptophyta, Magnoliopsida, Proteales, Nelumbonaceae.
UUCAUUCGUGACAAGUGGGAAGCUUUGAGAAUGAGGAGUGGGAAGCUCCCACUCUCUAUCAGUUCUUAAAAAAUUGGAGAAUGAGUUCAAACCCACUGCAUUAAAGUUUCCAUACGUGAGAAGUGGGAAGCUUUGAGAAGUGAGGAGAGGGAAGCUCCCACUCUCUAUCAGUUCCUAAAUGGAGAAUGAGAUGCAUUUCAAACAAGUCUCCAACUCUAAGAAACCUUUCUGCUCAUUCAAAUCCUCUUCAGAUUACUUCAAUAAAUCAGCCAUACAGAACCUCAUAUUACUUCCAACCUCCAAGACUGGAUGAAUGGUUUUUUGACAUGUUAAUGAAUGGAAAACGACCAUCUUCGUUCUUGGAUGCACAGAUCCUAACGGCUACCUUGGUUCCUGCACAGUAAAUGRCCAUCUUGGUUCAAGGAAAGUCCUUUGUGAAACCGCAAUCCCCUGAUUUCUUCAAACUUCAUUUUCAGAGAUCCGUUGUCAAUCCGGAAAUUUUGAAAAAAGUGAGAAGGAUGAAAAGUAGCCAAUGGGAUUAACUUCAAAUAUGACACUGUAAG